GUAGGUGGCAAGCGUUGUCCGGAAUUAUUGGGCGUAAAGCGCGCGCAGGCGGUUCUUUAAGUCUGAUGGUGAAAGCCCACGGCUCAACCGUGGAGGGUCAUUGGAAACUGGAGAACUUGAGUACAGAAGAGGAAAGCGGAAUUCCACGUGUAGCGGUGAAAUGCGUAGAGAUGUGGAGGAACACCAGUGGCGAAGGCGGCUUUCCGGUCUUGUAACUGACGCUGAGGCGCGAAAGCGUGGGGAGCAAACAGGAUUAGAUACCCUGGUAGUCCACGCCGUAAACGAUGAGUGCUAAGUGUUAGGGGGUUUCCGCCCCCCUUAGUGCUGCAGCUAACGCAUUAAGCACUCCGCCUGGGAGUACGGCCGCAAGGCUG
RNAcentral lists this ribosomal RNA (374 nucleotides) under uncultured organism. Its description in RNAcentral is "partial 16S ribosomal RNA". It matches the Rfam family "Bacterial small subunit ribosomal RNA", at positions 527 to 896 of the family's 1533-position model. The record is from RNAcentral.